This 117-nucleotide ribosomal RNA is filed under the name uncultured bacterium. RNAcentral describes it as "partial 16S ribosomal RNA". It matches the Rfam family "Bacterial small subunit ribosomal RNA", at positions 1358 to 1482 of the family's 1533-position model. The record is from RNAcentral.
CGCGGUGAAUACGUUCCCGGGCCUUGUACACACCGCCCGUCAAGCCAUGGAAGUCAGGGAGACCUGAAGACGGUAACCGUACAGGAGCCGUUUAGGGUAAAACUGGUAACUGGGGCU